Molecule: long non-coding RNA, 187 nt
Organism: Chelonia mydas (Green sea turtle)
Lineage: Eukaryota; Metazoa; Chordata; Testudines; Cheloniidae
Exons: 3
Source: RefSeq, a predicted model, not a curated record
AGAGAAGAGCUACUGGGAUUAACAGAGGAAUGGAGUACCUGCCCAAUUAAAGGAGUCUUCAGGAGCUUGGCUUGUUUUAGCCUAACAAAAUGAAGGAUGAGGAGCAAUAUGGUUGCUCUCUAUAUAUACAUCAGAGGGAUAAACACCAGGGAAGGACAGGAAUUAUUUAAGCUCGGUACCAAUGUGA